RNAcentral lists this unclassified non-coding RNA (222 nucleotides) under Botrytis caroliniana. Its description in RNAcentral is "partial internal transcribed spacer region". The stretch from base 1 to 46 matches the Rfam family "Eukaryotic small subunit ribosomal RNA", at positions 1786 to 1831 of the family's 1831-position model. The record is from RNAcentral. Lineage: Eukaryota; Fungi; Ascomycota; Leotiomycetes; Helotiales; Sclerotiniaceae.
AAGUCGUAACAAGGUUUCCGUAGGUGAACCUGCGGAAGGAUCAUUACAGAGUUCAUGCCCGAAAGGGUAGACCUCCCACCCUUGUGUAUUAUUACUUUGUUGCUUUGGCGAGCUGCCUUCGGGCCUUGCGUGCUCGCCAGAGAAAACCAAAACUCUUUUUAUUAAUGUCGUCUGAGUACUAUAUAAUAGUUAAAACUUUCAACAACGGAUCUCUUGGUUCUG